ACUGGAACUGAGACACGGUCCAGACUCCUACGGGAGGCAGCAGUGGGGAAUAUUGCACAAUGGGGGAAACCCUGAUGCAGGCAUGCCGCGUGUGUGAAGAAGGCCUUCGGGUUGUAAAGCACUUUCAGCGAGGAGGAAAGGUGUAGCUAAUACUGCGCUUUGACGUUACUCGCAGAAGAAGCACCGGCUAACUCCGUGCCAGCAGCCGC
Molecule: ribosomal RNA, 209 nt
Filed under: uncultured bacterium
Lineage: Bacteria
Description: partial 16S ribosomal RNA
Rfam family: Bacterial small subunit ribosomal RNA
Source: RNAcentral